Molecule: long non-coding RNA, 326 nt
Filed under: Homo sapiens (human)
Lineage: Eukaryota; Metazoa; Chordata; Mammalia; Primates; Hominidae
Description: non-protein coding lnc-C6orf47-2:1
Source: RNAcentral
GUGGGUUGAAGGGGUCCAGGUUCAAGGUUACAUCAGACCCGCCCCCCAGGCUCCACCCUCAUCCAGCUGCCCUCCCUGCCCCCUGAGUUCAUGCACGCCGUCGCCCACCAGAUCACUCAUCAGGCCAUGGUGGCAGCUGUUGCCUCCGCGGCCGCAGGUAAUGACCUGGAAGGGGAGGCUUGGGAGGUAGGGCACAGUCCAUGGUGGCAGCUGGCUGGCAAGGGCCUGGCCCUCAGCCCUCUUCGGUCUGUCUCUUCUGCCACCCACAGGACAGCAGGUGCCAGGCUUCCCAACAGCUCCAACCCGGGUGGUGAUUGCCCGGCCCA